RNAcentral lists this long non-coding RNA (281 nucleotides) under Nicotiana benthamiana. Its description in RNAcentral is "long non-coding RNA (NBEN_LNC001964)". The record is from RNAcentral. Lineage: Eukaryota; Viridiplantae; Streptophyta; Magnoliopsida; Solanales; Solanaceae.
UUUGAUUUACGCCCGGUACCAAUGAUCCGCCCUGUACUACGUUCCUGUAUAAAAACAUGGUCAUCAAGAAAUAAAACGGCACAUUUAAGUGAUUUGGCUAGGUGACUAAUAUCUAUGAGAUUAAAAGGACUAUUAGGGACAUAAAGAAUUGAAUCUAAAGGUAAGGAAGGAAUUUGGCAUGAUUGACCUAUUGCAGUUGCCAUGAUUUGAGAUCCAUUGGCCAUUAUGACUCUUGGAAGAGAUUGAGAAUACGAAAUAGUAGUGAAAAGAGAUUUGUUACC